GGCGACACUUUCGAAUUGACGGGGAUACCCUAAAGCCUGUCGCACCAACUCUGUGUGGGAAACCGCUGGAGGGCCCGUGCUAACUACACGGGGUGGUAACAGACGACACGGAUACCUCCACGCCUUUUUUGGUGUAGAUACCAUGGGCAAUCCGCAGCGAAGCCUCUAAGUCCGGCCGCCGGAUAUGAGGAACGUUCACAGACUAAGUGGAAGUGGGUGGAGCGUUCGCCGCUCUGCUUAAGAUAUAGUCGGUCCCCUUGGGAAACUAAGGGGGUGAGUACACUGCUCGAAAUUUAAACUUGAGCGCAUCUCGGAUAGCGCUCGUGUUAGAAUUUCGGGACCGUCGAUUGCCUCGCGGUUCGACGGCUCUUAAAACGUUCCGUAGGUGAACCUGCGGAAGGAUCAUUACAGAAAGUAAACGCGGAUCAAACCGCGAACUUUUAAACCUUUGACGAUUGACUCAUGUUGCCUCGGCGGGUUCUCUCGCCAGAGGAUACAUCAAAACUCCUGUUUUAACGGUGUUGUCUGAGCUACAAGCAACGAAUCAAAACUUUCAACAACGGAUCUCUUGGUUCUGGCAUCGAUGAAGAACGCAGCGAAAUGCGAUAAGUAGUGUGAAUUGCAGAAUUCAGUGAAUCAUCGAAUCUUUGAACGCACAUUGCGCCCCUUGGUAUCCCGAGGGGCAUGCCUGUUCGAGCGUCAUUUCACCACUCAAGCCUGGCUUGGUGUUGGGCGACGUCCCCUUCAGGGACGCGCCUCGAAACGCUCGGCGGCGUGGCACCGGCUUUAAGCGUAGCAGAAUCUUUCGCUUCAAAAGUUGGGGCCCCGUCUGCCGGAAGACCUACUCGCAAGGUUGACCUCGGAUCAGGCAGGGAUACCCGCUGAACUUAAGCAUAUCAAUAAGCGGAG
RNAcentral lists this unclassified non-coding RNA (909 nucleotides) under Cenococcum geophilum. Its description in RNAcentral is "partial contains ITS1, 5.8S rRNA and ITS2". The stretch from base 549 to 702 matches the Rfam family "5.8S ribosomal RNA". The record is from RNAcentral. Lineage: Eukaryota; Fungi; Ascomycota; Dothideomycetes; Gloniales; Gloniaceae.